CUGGCAGUGGUGUGGUGUCAAAGAAGGCACAAGCCUACAGAUACAGAGGAAGGUAUUCACUAUGGAUCCAUCUCCUUCCAGCCUAAAGCAACUGGUGGCAACAGCGAUAAUACACUGUCCUCCAAUCAAGCAUCAGGCACUAACCUUGUUUCUUCAAAGGAAGAUGAGUC
Molecule: long non-coding RNA, 170 nt
Organism: Amblyraja radiata (thorny skate)
Lineage: Eukaryota; Metazoa; Chordata; Chondrichthyes; Rajiformes; Rajidae
Exons: 4
Source: RefSeq, a predicted model, not a curated record